AUACUCUCAACCUUCUUGGUUUCUUUGACCAUGAAGGCUUGGACUUUGGAGGUUUUUCUUGCUGGCCUCUUUUGAAGCCAGCUCCUCCUAAAUGAAUGGGUGGGGUCCGCUUUGCUGAUCCUCGACGUGAUAAGCAUAUCAAUAAGCGGAGGA
Molecule: unclassified non-coding RNA, 153 nt
Filed under: uncultured Russula
Lineage: Eukaryota; Fungi; Basidiomycota; Agaricomycetes; Russulales; Russulaceae
Description: sequence contains ITS2
Source: RNAcentral